CCUACGGGAGGCAGCAGUGGGGAAUAUUGCACAAUGGGGGGAACCCUGAUGCAGCAACGCCGCGUGGGUGAAGAAGUACUUCGGUAUGUAAAGCCCUGUCAGCAGGGAAGAAAAUGACGGUACCUGACCAAGAAGCCCCGGCUAACUACGUGCCAACAGCCGCGGUAAUACGUAGGGGGCAAGCGUUAUCCGGAUUUACUGGGUGUAAAGGGAGCGUAGACGGCAAGGCAAGUCUGGAGUGAAAGCCCGUGGCUCAACCACGGGACUGCUUUGGAAACUGUGUUGCUGGAGUGCAGGAGGGGUAAGCGGAAUUCCUAGUGUAGCGGUGAAAUGCGUAGAUAUAUGGAAGAACACCAGUGGCGAAAGCGGCUCUCUGGUCUGUAACUGACGCUGAGGUUCGAAAGCGUGGGUAGCAAACAGGAUUAGAUACCCGUGUAGUC
This 440-nucleotide ribosomal RNA is filed under the name uncultured bacterium. RNAcentral's name for it is "partial 16S ribosomal RNA". It matches the Rfam family "Bacterial small subunit ribosomal RNA", at positions 338 to 795 of the family's 1533-position model. The record is from RNAcentral.